Non-coding RNA from Azoarcus sp. CIB, 150 nucleotides. The record is from Rfam. NCBI's taxonomy places the organism in Bacteria, Pseudomonadati, Pseudomonadota, Betaproteobacteria, Rhodocyclales, Zoogloeaceae.
AAACCCGAGACAUGCCCGCCGCGUCCGUCGGCGACAUGCCUAGGUAGCCCCCGAUCUUCAAGGCUACGGCGCGUCGUUACCGCGCUGAUCGAACCCGUUCGCUUCGCAUCCUUGCCCGCGAACAGCUGCCACGCCUGUGGUGGUGGAUGC